RNAcentral lists this ribosomal RNA (782 nucleotides) under uncultured Neocallimastigales. Its description in RNAcentral is "partial large subunit ribosomal RNA". It matches the Rfam family "Eukaryotic large subunit ribosomal RNA", at positions 19 to 646 of the family's 3401-position model. The record is from RNAcentral. Lineage: Eukaryota; Fungi; Neocallimastigomycota; Neocallimastigomycetes; Neocallimastigales.
UCGAGCACGCGCGUGUGGCAUAUCAAUAAGCGGAGGAAAAGAAACUAACAAGGAUUCCCUUAGUAACGGCGAGUGAAGCGGGAAGAGCUCAAAUUUGAAAUCUUCAAGGUUUUACCUUGACGAAUUGUAGUUUAUAGAAGUGUUUUCUGUUAGUAGAGUUUGGUAAAAGUUCUUUGGAAUAGGACAUCAUAGAGGGUGAGAAUCCCGUAUUUGGUCAUUCUUUCUAGCUUUGUGAUACACUUUCAACGAGUCGGAUUGUUUGGGAAUGCAGUCCAAAAUGGGUGGUAAAUUUCAUCUAAAGCUAAAUAUUGGCGAGAGACCGAUAGCGAACAAGUACCGUGAGGGAAAGAUGAAAAGAACUUUGAAAAGAGAGUUAAACAGUACGUGAAAUUGUCAAAAGGGAAGCGUUUGACACCAGUGUUGUUUUUCCGAAAAUCAAUUACGAAUGUUUUGUAUUUUGAGAAGUUAUGACUUCAUCGGCUUGCUUCUCUCUUUACGGAAACUUUCUCUAAUGCACUUUUCGGUUAACAAGUCAACAUCAAUUUCUUUUGUUGUAAAAGGGUAUGAGGAAGGUGGCUUUCUUUUCGGAGAAAGUGUUUAUAGCCUUGUGCCUCUGCAAUCGGAGAGAUUGAGGUCUGCAGCGUAGAUCCUUCGGGGUUAGAUACGUUUGUGCUAAGUUAUAGCUUUUCAUAGACAACUUGUUGACUAUGAUUAGUCAUUGUAGCUUACUCGCUGACUGCUAUUUUACCUACGCUUAGGAUGUUGAUGUGAUACUGCGAGCA